Molecule: long non-coding RNA, 2307 nt
Filed under: Salmo salar (Atlantic salmon)
Lineage: Eukaryota; Metazoa; Chordata; Actinopteri; Salmoniformes; Salmonidae
Description: lncRNA (ENSSSAG00000102444.1)
Source: RNAcentral
CGCACAUUUUCUGACCCUAAGGGAGAUAGGAGCAACAUAAGUCUAUCCCUUUGAUAUUGACUUUUAUAUCUGUAAAAUGAGUGAAUAAUGACUCAUUCAAGUAGCAGUUAAUCAAUGUGAGAUGUGGAUGCGUCUAUGUGAGCAUGUGUAUGUGUUUUGUUAUGAGUGUUUGUGUUAAUGUAGGAGUGAACAUUGUGUUAAUGUAAGUACUGAUGAUGUAGCUGAAAUUGUGUUUGCCUGCAUGUGACUGUGAACGACUGUACUGUAUGUCUAAGCUCUGUGUGUAUAUUAACGUCUGUCUGGCGUUCUCUCUCAGACUAGAGUUUACGGUGGGCAGCAGGGUAGUGAGCUGUUUCGUCUGAUAGAGAGGCACGACUUCAGAGACCUGAUCCUCAAGACCUUUUGACUUUGAGAUCGGCUACUGCAACCCCUACAGCAGGAACACCUGUGAACACAUCUACAGUCUACCUGACCUGGAGGCAGACAUGGAGGCACAUAUAUAUGCAUGCUCACUAGGGAUGCAACGGUACACAGUAUGUUGUCAAACGGUUCGGUACGCCCCCUAUGGUUCAAUACGCACAUGUGAACCGCGGAAUUACGAUAUGCCUGUCAUUUUCCUAUAAUUACCAAAAUGUGUUUAUUGCGUUGCAGACUACCCGCACGUUGUACAUUCAAAUCCACAUAACUAGACUUGCAGCUUGUGAACAGGCUUGGCAGGCAACUGCUUGGGACACCAAGCCGUUAUGGGGCUCCUGAGGGCUGACAAACUUUAAUCCACAGCAAUGUCUCAAAAUGUGGCAACCCCCCAUAAUUAAACAACCAAUGGACGAUUUGCAAUGACAUCUCAGUAAGAAACCUCCCUAAAUGGGCCCCAUGAAGAAAUGGGAAACUAAAAACGAAUAUUCUCUCAGCUACAAGGUGAUAAUGUUGAGCGCUAGCGAGACCGAGAGAAGUAAAUUUGAAGAAGCACUGUCGUCUUUCAAAUCCGCUGUGUGGGAACAUUUUGGAUUCAGCGUUCAAUACGAUGACGAGGGUGGAGCUGGAGCAAGGGGAGUCCACUCGUUAGCGAAAACACAACAAUCUCUCGCUGCUGCCUUCCAACAACAAAACAUAAAGAAAUAACAAAAGCAGUGUGAGUAUUCACAGCCAAAGAUUGUAUUGCCUAUACAAGUAUGUACCCUGUUUAUUUAAAAUAGAGAAGGCAAAGCACCUACAGGUUGUCAAAGCUAAGAAGCACUUUUAAUUUUGUUUUUCUCCCCUUGACUCCCCUAGCCAGUCACGCUGCCAUUUUCUGAAUGGAAAGUUUUAUUUGUCUAUAGGAAAAAUAAAGAGUUCAUUGUUUAAAGGGUGAUGUGUUCUUUUUUCUUAAAUAUAAAGAUACCGUACCGUUACCGUGGCCCACAAAUCGUGAUACAUACCGAACCGUGAGCCCACUGUACUGUUGCAUCCCUAAUGCACACACACAUACACACUGCUGUGCUCUAGAGUCAGUGGCAUAGGAGGUCGUUUUUUUUAUCCCUAAACAUAGCACACCAAACCAUCAAGUCACCUGCUCGAGAGUUCAGUAAGGUACAGUACAUGGAAAUCAAAUUAUAGGCAUAAAGGUGGUUGAUUCUUAUUCCAAUUAAAAUUUUCCAUUUGUGUUCUAGAAUAAGAUAUUAAAUACAAACACACAUGCAGACUGGAGCUUCAUGAAAUGUGUUUCCAUGGCCGAUUUGCCGCACACAAGCCUAACAUCACCAUGCGCAAUGCCAAGCGUCGGCUGAAGUGGUGUAAACUCACUGCCAUUGGACUAUGUAGCAAUGGAAACAAGUUCUCUGGAGUGAUGAAUCACGCUUCACCAUCUGGCAGUCCGACAGACAAAUCUGGGUUUGGUAUUUUAUUAGGAUCCCCAUCAGCAGCUACUCUUCCUGGGGUUCACAUAAAACAUAAUACAGAAUGACAUAAUACAAAACAUGAAUAGACAAGAACAGCUCAAGGACAGAACUACAUAAAAAAAAUGUAAAGGCACACAGCCUACAUAUCAAUGCAUACACAGAAACUAUUUUGGUCAAAUAGUGGAGAGGCGUUUUGCCAUGAUGUGUUGCUUUAUCUGUUUUUUUUUAAACCAAAUUUGCUGUUUAUUUGAGCAACAUGAGAUGCCAGGAGAACGCUACCUGCCCGAAUGCAUAGUUGCAACUGUAAAGUUUGGUGGAGGAGGAAUAAUGGUCUUGGGCUGUUUUCAUGGUUCGGGCUCGGGCCCUUAGUUCCAGUAAAGGGAAAUCUUAACGCUACAGCGUACAAUGACAUUCUAGACGAUUCUGUGAU